RNAcentral lists this ribosomal RNA (799 nucleotides) under uncultured Pelagibacteraceae bacterium. Its description in RNAcentral is "bacterial SSU rRNA". It matches the Rfam family "Bacterial small subunit ribosomal RNA", at positions 34 to 881 of the family's 1533-position model. The record is from RNAcentral. Lineage: Bacteria; Pseudomonadati; Pseudomonadota; Alphaproteobacteria; Candidatus Pelagibacterales; Candidatus Pelagibacteraceae.
CGCUGGCGGCACGCCUUAUACAUGCAAGUCGAACGAAGUAGUAAUACUUAGUGGCAGACGGGUGAGUAACAUGUAGGUAUCUUCCCUUUGGUGAGGAAUAACACGAGGAAACUUGUGCUAAUACCUCAUAAGUCUUUACGGAGAAAGCUUUAUGCGCCGAAGGAUGAGCCUGCAUUUGAUUAGUUUGUUGGUGGGGUAAUGGCCCACCAAGACUUUGAUCAAUAGCUGAUCUGAGAGGAUGAUCAGCCACAUUGGGACUGAGACACGGCCCAAACUCCUACGGGAGGCAGCAGUAGGGAAUAUUGCACAAUGGAGGAAACUCUGAUGCAGCGAUGCCGCGUGAGUGAAGAAGGCCUUUGGGUUGUAAAGCUCUUUCGUCGGGGAAGAAAAUGACUGUACCCGAAUAAGAAGGUCCGGCUAACUUCGUGCCAGCAGCCGCGGUAAUACGAAGGGACCUAGCGUAGUUCGGAAUUACUGGGCUUAAAGAGUUCGUAGGUGGUUAAAAAAGUUGGUGGUGAAAUCCCAGAGCUUAACUCUGGAACUGCCAUCAAAACUUUUUAGCUAGAGUAUGAUAGAGGAAAGCAGAAUUUCUAGUGUAGAGGUGAAAUUCGUAGAUAUUAGAAAGAAUACCAAUUGCGAAGGCAGCUUUCUGGAUCAUUACUGACACUGAGGAACGAAAGCAUGGGUAGCGAAGAGGAUUAGAUACCCUCGUAGUCCAUGCCGUAAACGAUGUGUGUUAGACGUUGGAAAUUUUUUUUCAGUGUCGCAGCGAAAGCAUUAAACACACCGCCUGGGGAGU